This is a non-coding RNA of Salmonella enterica subsp. enterica serovar Macclesfield, 116 nucleotides long. The record is from Rfam. Lineage: Bacteria; Pseudomonadati; Pseudomonadota; Gammaproteobacteria; Enterobacterales; Enterobacteriaceae.
CCUGGCGGCCGUAGCGCGGUGGUCCCACCUGACCCCAUGCCGAACUCAGAAGUGAAACGCCGUAGCGCCGAUGGUAGUGUGGGGUCUCCCCAUGCGAGAGUAGGGAACUGCCAGGC